CAGCGGGACACUCCUCCCCAACGAGGAGCGACUAUCUGUAAGGGUACUACAA
This 52-nucleotide non-coding RNA is filed under the name Pseudoprimorskyibacter insulae. RNAcentral describes it as "Primorskyibacter insulae serC". It matches the Rfam family "serC leader". Rfam says of the family: This family is a putative regulatory RNA structure that is found upstream of the serC-serA operon in some alpha-proteobacteria. Lineage: Bacteria; Pseudomonadati; Pseudomonadota; Alphaproteobacteria; Rhodobacterales; Paracoccaceae. The record is from RNAcentral.